GUGUUCGCUUUGGUAGCACAUAUACUAAAAUUGGAACGAUACAGAGGAGAUUGGUAUGGCCCCUGCGCAAGGAUGAUGUACAAAUUUGUGAAGUGUGACAUAUUUUU
Ailuropoda melanoleuca (giant panda) is the source of this 107-nucleotide small nuclear RNA. The record is from Ensembl. NCBI's taxonomy places the organism in Eukaryota, Metazoa, Chordata, Mammalia, Carnivora, Ursidae.